Long non-coding RNA from Homo sapiens (human), 572 nucleotides. Ensembl annotates it as transmembrane protein 198B (pseudogene). Its record names the gene TMEM198B. NCBI's taxonomy places the organism in Eukaryota, Metazoa, Chordata, Mammalia, Primates, Hominidae. The record is from Ensembl.
ACAAACACAAACACACACCCCAACACACACGCCCUGUCCCCUUUCUCCACCCUGCAAGCUAGUUGCAUUUAGCUCACAGAGCCUGGGCUGCGACUUGAAAGAGUUUAGGCAGCAACAGAGUGACCCUGGGGGUGCUCUUGACCGACAGCCGCACCCCCGGCGUCUAGGACCUCCGAGCAGGGAUGCAUCUGGAGGUCUAGGGAAGCACUUCCACCCCCUCCUCUCCUCAAUCCUGGCAGGAUGGUGAGUAGUUAACAUCCCCUCCCCAACCCCCGCUUGUCCAGGGUCCCCAGACUUCCAAGCAGAUUGAGGAGAGGAGCUCCGAGAGUCAACCCUCCAGCCUGUAAGGACCUUGAUAUCCAAAGGACAGCUGAAGAAAGUAAUGUGCCUGCAUUUUUGCCACUUCAUUCCCACAGUGCCCGAAAUGCCAGCUCCUCCUUGGUGUUCUCCUUUCAGGAUUUGAAUUCAAAUCCCAUUGGCAGCCCUGAUACCGCUGGGGGAAGGGUGAGGCUACUGCUGCUUCAAGACAGUGACGUUUCUCUCCGGUCAGCUGUCAGGAGCGCUGGUGAGCU